UUAGUAACGGCGAGUGAAGCGGCAACAGCUCAAAUUUGAAAUCUGGCCCUCGGGUCCGAAUUGUAAUUUGUAGAGGAUGAUUUUGGUGCGGUAUCUUCCGAGUUCCUUGGAACAGGACGCCUUAGAGGGUGAGAGCCCCGUACGGUCGAAUGCCUAGCCUCUGUAAAUCUCCUUCGACGAGUCGAGUAGUUUGGGAAUGCUGCUCUAAAUGGGAGGUAAAUUUCUUCUAAAGCUAAAUAUUGGCCAGAGACCGAUAGCGCACAAGUAGAGUGAUCGAAAGAUGAAAAGCACUUUGAAAAGAGGGUUAAAUAGCACGUGAAAUUGUUGAAAGGGAAGGAUUUGUGACCAGACUUUUUCUGGGCGGAUCAUCCGGGGUUCUCUCCGGUGCACUUUGCCCAGUAAAGGCCAGCAUCGAUUUUCGGCGGCGGAUAAAAGCAGUGGGAAUGUGGCUCUCUACGGGGAGUGUUAUAGCCCAUUGUAUAAUACGCUGCUGGGGAUCGAGGUACGCGCUUCUGCAAGGAUGCUGGCGUAAUGGUUAUCAAUCACCCGUCUUGAAACACGGACCAAGGAGUCGAACAUUUAUGCGAGUGUUUGGGUGUUAAACCCUCACGCGUAAUGAAAGUGAACGGAGGUGAGAGCCCGUACGGGUGCAUCAUCGACCGAUCCUGAAGUUUUCGGAUGGAUUUGAGUAAGAGCAUAACUGUUCGGACCCGAAAGAUGGUGAACUAUGCGUGGAUAGGGUGAAGCCAGAGGAAACUCUGGUGGAGGCUCGCAGCGGUUCUGACGUGCAAAUCGAUCGUCAAAUCUGCGCAU
RNAcentral lists this ribosomal RNA (813 nucleotides) under Pestalotiopsis distincta. RNAcentral's name for it is "eukaryotic LSU rRNA". It matches the Rfam family "Eukaryotic large subunit ribosomal RNA", at positions 80 to 918 of the family's 3401-position model. Lineage: Eukaryota; Fungi; Ascomycota; Sordariomycetes; Amphisphaeriales; Sporocadaceae. The record is from RNAcentral.